AAAAAAAAAAAAAAAAGGGCAGAGGGAGAACGGAAUUUCAUAGCAAAAGACUAAGAAGAAAGAUUACAUAAAUAGCACCACAGGAAAUACAUCAACACAAACUGGCUAGAAAUUUCUCUCCUAAAUUUUCCAUUACAAGGAACUUGACAAGAGCACAAAUGGCUUCCAGAUUUUUAUCAUUUUCAUUCAAGAUUGGUGUGUCGAGAUCGGAUGGUCUCUGAGCUCUGUCCCAAAACUUCACCCAAUUUGUAAAUCACCAUCUCAAACAAUACAAACAAAGCUCCCUCAUAAACGCUUCCCAUCGGCAACAGCGGCCGAGAUGUCGCCUCUUCAUCAUUUGCCAUGGUCAGUGCUGGCACGUAGCAAACCACGCUCGCAUGCUUCACACAAGACCCGCUUUCAGGUUGAGCAGUCAGCAGUAACACUUUGGCACCAUUCGAUCUUGCCAGCGAACACAAGGCAUCGACGGUGGAGAAUCCCCCAGGUCCCGCAGAGGCGAUGAAGAGAUCGUUGGAGGCGAUUGGAGGAGUGGUCAUGUCGAAUACAAAGUGGGUGGAGAGACCAAGGUGGGCGAGCCGCAUGCAUAGGGCCUUAAGCAUCAGACCCUCCCUUCCCACUCCAUAGAGGAAAACACGGCCGUUCCGGGCGGCGGUGGCGGAGAGAUUAGUGACCAUCAGUUCUAGAGGAGGUGGAUGGGGAUCAGUGGGUUUGGAGAAAAUGGAGGCUAUGUGAUUGCAUAUCUGUGAGGCUAGAGAGAACAUUGAGGGAGCUUCCGCUGCCAUCGGCGUUGGAGGGGCUUCAAUCUUUUUUUAACGGACUGGAUAAUCAUUGCAAUUAGUAGACGGCUGAGGGGAAAUGGAUAGCAGGUGCCCAACCGAUAGCCUCCAGUCUCUUGCAAUUGGUCCUAAAAUGCCACAUCAGCGCACAAUCCAUCUUAGGAAUUAUGUUAGAAAUCAGGGCUGUUCACUUUAUAGAUUAAUCGGACCGAAUCGAUCAAUUCAAAUUCAUCCGAAUCGAAAAUUAGGUUUGGAUGACAAUAAUCGGAUCGGUUCGAGGAUUUAAUUUAAAUACUUAUCUUUUUUUUGCUGUCGGUUUGGUUUCAUCCAAACAACACGCGAAAUCUAAGCCCUAUGUGUCUCUUCCUGUCGCCAUAGUCGACGGUAGAUUUUCAUCUUUGCCGCUCGCUCCCCUAAAAACAUCCAUUUUCGUUACCAACAUCUCUUGCCUUAGCCGAAAGUAACAAGAUCUUCGUUGUUGCCCUCCAAAAACCUCCAUCUUCGUCGCCAACAUCUCUCUGUUAUCACUAGUUGCUCGUUUUCUGACGAAAGUACAACUUCUGUCUUUCGGUAGGUUAAACCUAGCAUUUGGCUUUCUGUGAUUUCAUGGGUUCAAAAUUUUGUAUGAAAUGUUCGAAAUUUCUAACACCGAAAUCUCUACCCUUGAAAUUCAUGGUUAUCCAGGAAUUACUUACUUGAACCACAUCAGAUUGUGGACUCGUGGGACAUAUUUUUUCAUGUUGGGUUGUGCUUGUGAUUGGUUUGAUUUACUUGGUUUUUCUUUUGAUUUUACUUGGUUUUUCUUUUGAUUUUUCUAAGGUUGAGUAAAUGAUUGAUGAUCCCUUUAACCUCUUUUAACUUUUGGGUUUUGUUUUGCUGCUUGCCUCUUCUUUAAUUUGGCUAUGAAUGUUGGGUUUAUUUGGGUACUGUAUAUAUCUUUUUAAGUGCGUAAUCAGAUAUUUAUUGGUUUACUAGACAGUUUGAGUUGAUUUGUAAUUGGUAAUAGUACUGAAAUACCUUUUAGUUUAUCUUUUGCAGGGGAAGAGGGGAGUGUGGAACUUUGGAUUAAGUUGCCCAUUGAAUUUGUUAAUCUUGUAGAAACUGCAGUUAAGGUAAUCAUUUUCUACAUCUGUGAAAUACAGUUAAGUAAGGGUUAAUGCCCAUAUAAUUAUCCAAUUAUUCUCUAAUUAUGAUCCCUUCUUUCAUUUCUGCGUAAUAGUAUAAAAAGGUACAUUUGUUGGAUUUCCUUUAUUAAGGACCUUAUAGUUUUUGUAUUUGAAAUAAUAUCCAUUUCUACAAUAGCAUAUUCUGUUACAUACUGGUUCUGAGUUUGAAGUUUCUUUCAUAUAACAACAGACUAGCAUUUAAGUUCUAACAAUCAAUUAAGUGGGUCUGGUGGGAAUGGUGUUAUCAGUGUUACUUUUCCUAUGUGUUUAAACAGUUUAGAUUACAACUACACUUUGUUUUUCCAAUUUAGUUUAUUGUUGAAGAAAUUUGCGGGAAAUAUAUAUAAUUGGAAAUUAUUUUUUCUUUUAAUUAUUUUCAGGCGUUUAAGCUAUUGAUUUCAUCUAGGAGCGACUAGAGUUUAUUUAGCCUAUAAAUUCUGCAAAUACACGCCAUCACACUUGAGAACUACUCAAUAUUGGUUUUGACUGGUAUCUACUGAAAGUGACCUGACCACAUCUCAAUACAAGUUGCAAAUUUUGGGUGGGCUAAGCAAAGUUUCGAAGGUCAGUCACAUUUCACCACAAGGGUAGCUGUUACACAUGGUUAUUUAGCACCUCGUAUGCUCAAUAUGGUCAAUUAGCAGGGAAAAGUGACAUAUAUACCUUUGGAAUUGUGAUUCUUGAAAUUAUGAGCAGAAGAAAGGUGCUUGAUAUAUCAAAUUCUUCAUUUCUUUUUAUUACUUAUUAGGCAUGGACACUAACAAAAUCUUAAAAUAUAGAGCAAAUAUUUGAUGAGUUGAUAAGGGAGCAGGGACCAAAAGGGGUGACGGAAAGAUUUGUUCUUGUUGGGAUUCUCUGUGUGCAUGUAAUAUUGGCAUUUAGACCUACCAUUGAAGAUGCUU
RNAcentral lists this unclassified non-coding RNA (2844 nucleotides) under Hevea brasiliensis (rubber tree). The record is from RNAcentral. Lineage: Eukaryota; Viridiplantae; Streptophyta; Magnoliopsida; Malpighiales; Euphorbiaceae.